Molecule: ribosomal RNA, 443 nt
Filed under: uncultured bacterium
Lineage: Bacteria
Description: partial 16S ribosomal RNA
Rfam family: Bacterial small subunit ribosomal RNA
Source: RNAcentral
CCUACGGGUGGCAGCAGUGGGGAAUAUUGGUCAAUGGGCGAAAGCCUGAACCAGCCACGCCGCGUGAAGGAAGAAGGCUUUCGGGAUGUAAACUUCUUUUCUGAGGGACGAAAGAAGUGACGGUACCUCAGGAAUAAGCCUCGGCUAACUACGUGCCAGCAGCCGCGGUAAUACGUAGGGGGCAAGCGUUAUCCGGAUUUAUUGGGUGUAAAGGGAGUGUAGGCGGGAAGGCAAGUCAGAGGUGAAAAGUCGGGGCUCAACCCUGAGCCUGCAGUUGAAACUGUUUUGCUGGAGUGCUGGAGAGGCAAGCGGAAUUCGGGGUGUAGCGGUGAAAUGCGUAGAUAUAAGGAGGAACACCAGUGGCGAAGGCGGAUUGCUGGAGAGUAACUGACGCUGAGGCGCGAAAGCGUGGGGAGCAAACAGGAUUAGAUACCCCAGUAGUC